Long non-coding RNA from Echinops telfairi (small Madagascar hedgehog), 3479 nucleotides. RefSeq lists it as uncharacterized. The transcript is spliced from 3 exons. The record is from RefSeq and is a predicted model, not a curated record. NCBI's taxonomy places the organism in Eukaryota, Metazoa, Chordata, Mammalia, Afrosoricida, Tenrecidae.
CGUUUCGGGAGAGUUCCGGGAGCAGAGAGCAGCUCCAGGCGGCGCCGGCGGCUCCGGAGUCAGAGGAAGAAGGGAAAGGAAGGUGUGGUGGGGCGCCCAGACCCUGCCUGGGGCAUCUGGAGCUGGGCGGGACAGCCGCCCCGAAGUCUGCGCUGGACAUUAAGAAUCGAACUAGGACAGCACCUGCCAGGACCCCGACCUAGACCCCCUGCCUCCUCUUAGGUGGCCCUGCUGCCACGCCACCCAGCUCUUCCGCGUCUCCUCCUGCCUGGCGGCAGCCACGGUCAAGGACGCGCCAUAUACGGAGUGCGAGCCUGAAGUUCCCCUUUAACUUCGGGAGACGACGCUUCUGCACCCCUAGCUAUUUCCCAUCCGCCAGCACCUGUGCUUUGGGGCACCGGUUGUGCUCAUAGCAGACUUUUUGGUCAGCCCGGCUCGCUUUUCCUGGAGUGAUGUUGGUGAAGAAGUUUUCUUUGCGCCUUGUUUCAGGGAGCCGAGGCCGGUGUUGAGCUGAGCAGUGGCCAGGACACUAGGAGGACUAGUUUUCUGUUCCACCAUCAAUGAAGAAAACACGAGGACUCCCGUUAUCAAGCAGGUGCUAUCUUCAGGCCUGGGAACCUAGCUUGUUGGGGACCAGUAUGUGCUUGCACCUGGGAGUGGAUUCCUACCGCCUUCUGAAGUGAUGGGUUUGCUCACUUCCUACUGGAGGUAUUGGUGACUCAAGGCUGACGGGGGCAGUCAUUGUUGGGGAGGCUGGGCUUUCUGCGAUACCUGCUUUGGGGACAUUAAACAGGUGAACUUUCAAUCCCCAUGUGGCUGUCAGGAAUACUUCCCCCUUUUGACUUUUUGGCCUGAAAUACCCUUUCAGUUAGGAUCCCACCACUUCUGGACCUCUCUAGUCUUGACCCAUCAUCAAACUCCUGAUACUCCCUGGCCAUCUCUUUACACAGGCACACUCCUUGUGUGCGCGCAGUGUGAGCAUUACCAGAGACAGUGGGGCUAUGCGAAACAUGCGAGGUGCAAGCGCUUAGUCAGUCUUGAGUGCUAGGAUUCUUUCAGCUGAACUGAGGUAUCAUUUGAAUUCCUGGAAGAACAAAACCCCACAGCCCCACUCUUGUCUGCAGGGGCGAAGCUAAUCAAAGCUGGCUCCAGAGGGGAGCCGGUGGAGCCCGGAGAAGUUGGGCACCUCAGAACACUAUCAGGAGCAGGGGCACACAUGUCACCGUUUCAGUAGAAUUAGGUGCGUGGCCUGGAACCGGAGAACGGCAGGAGGGGACGCAUGCCCCUGUAUCCUGGGGGUCUGGCUGUCCGCACUUGGGAGCCUUUGCACAGAGUUGUAGAGAGCUGCAUGGUUAGGGGGAGCUAUUGUUAUAGCUUAAGGGAAAACGGCCAGCUUCAAGCUUUAUUUCUGCUACGAAGGCUUCAUAGGUUGAUUCUCAUCGGUCAGUACAGCCUAGGAGUAGAGGGUAGAGCAGGUAAAGGCAAUUACAUUUGUGACUGAGCACAAUGGAAACUGUUGGGAGAAGAUAGGCACCAUGGUCCUAUGGGGUGGUUGUGAGGGGAGGCAGGUGGGAGAGACCCAAUAGGUCAUGGAAGCCAGAUGCUGGAUGCUGGCCUGCCUUAGGACCGUUUGCUGUUGGUGGACUUGUGGGAGCCCGCGCGCUCAGAUGUGGACUGUGCUCCACCAGGCUCCUCCCAAUGGCUGAUUUUUCAGAAAUCAAUUGCUAGGGCUUGCUUUCAUAGGGCCUCUCCCCCAAACAAAAGCAAAAGAACCCCGGACUCUCUGUUAUUGAAUUGAUUCUCCUAACAACCUUAUGAUAGACCAGAACUGCCUCUAUGGGUGUCCGUGCCUGUGACGGGAGUAGGGAGCCUUGUCUUUCUCUCGCGGAAUAGCUAGUGGUUUUGAACUGCUGACCGUACAAUUUAUACCGCAACACGUCAUCCAUGGUGCCACCAGGGUGGACUUAAGCCACCACGCUAUUUACUGGCAGAUGAGUGUGUUAAAUGAUCAUAGCACCCAGGGCCUCUGUGAAAAAGACCGCAGCCAGACAGGAGAGGACACGCGCCGUGUGGCCCAGGGUGACUGAUGGCUCCAAGCACCCUGCCAUUGAAGCCGCUUUGGGUAACACAGCUGCUUCCCAGGUGAGCUGCUCUCAUCAGGAGUGUGUGUCACCCAGAGGUGCGGGGGCCUCAGCGUCUCUCUUGCUCAUGGGCAUUUGGAGAGCCAGUGUCAGUAGGUGGAGGCCAGAGCCCUGGUGGCGCAUUGGGUUACUUUGUUGGCUACAAGGUUAACAGUUCAAAACCACUUGCGUGGAGGAUGAAGCUUUCUGCUCUCAUCAAGAGUCACGCUCCCGGACACCCUCAGGGACACUUUGAUUCUGUUCUGUAGAGUCAGAAUGGACUUAAUGAUUAUGAGCUGAGGUUUUUGAGGGGUGGAGGGUAGUAAAGUAUUUUAUAGGAUACUUGGCAGAAGUGUAUUUUAAAAGACACCUCUCCUUUGAAUGCCUGCUGGGUGGCAGGUGCCUUGCAUUGUGCUGACGCUAAGCAUUUUGUUUGUCACCUUUUAGGAGCAGCAGGCAGUCUACCGUGACCCCCUGGCGGGAAAGAUCCAGUUAGGAACUGACUCUAUAGCAACUGAGGUUUUCCGGUUUGGGGUAUCAGUGUGUCGUACAGGUUUGCGGGGGUGUGGGUUUAUCACGGGAAGCGAAAGAAGAGGGUCCUGGGCAGAAAGAGCAUCCUGGAAACCCGAAACUGUGUCCCUUGUGUGGGGAGCGGAGGCAUUAGAGUGGCUGGCAGGUGGGAGGUGCUGGCAGUGGGAUCCUGGGCGUUAGAAGGGACACCAUUUAAUAGGUUUCCCUGCUGAGUUUCUCUCUAUUCAAAUGGUGGCAAGCCUGGCUGUUGGCUGAGACCCAGGAAUACUAGCUGAUUAUCCUACACUGCUAUUGGAGCCAGAGGAAAACGAAAUUUCCUAUUGGUCCAUUUGCCUUCGACAUACAGCAUUUUGCUUCUGUCCUGUUAAAAAUAAAAGAAGGUAUUAGCAAUGCAAAUAAAGAAAGGGGUCCUUAUCAGCCGUAAGUCUGCCCUCUUGUGUACAUGAAUUACUUCUGGGGCUUUCAUUAUAUGAUUAUGCAGCAGUGGGAAAAAUGACAAUGUUACUUGACAAAUGAUAUAGUAUGGGGUGGGGGUGAGGGGAAGAAAAAGCCACCCUUCUCUGGGAGAACAAAUUCUAUUUUGUCAGAUGUGCUUCUGGGUAGAGUUACAGUCGUGUCUAGCGCUAACAAGGCUCUUGUGUUUGAAUCAUUUCCAUUCGGCACUUUCUUUCUCGGGGGAGAUGAUAUUGAGGUUGGGAGCGUGUGUGUCUCAGUGUUCGUGUGUAGUUGCACACAAACGUGUUCUGUGGGACUUGGGAGCUAUCUGGUGAGGAAGGAAGACAAAACAAAACCUUAGCUGCUGAGGAUGGAAAAACACAGUUGCAGCAG